AGCGAACGCUGGCGGCAGGCUUAACACAUGCAAGUCGAACGCAUCGCAAGAUGAGUGGCAGACGGGUGAGUAACGCGUGGGAACAUACCAUUUUCUACGGAAUAGCUCUGGGAAACUGGAAUUAAUACCGUAUACGCCCUACGGGGGAAAGAUUUAUCGGGGAAGGAUUGGCCCGCGUUGGAUUAGCUAGUUGGUGGGGUAAAGGCCUACCAAGGCGACGAUCCAUAGCUGGUCUGAGAGGAUGAUCAGCCACAUUGGGACUGAGACACGGCCCAAACUCCUACGGGAGGCAGCAGUGGGGAAUAUUGGACAAUGGGCGAAAGCCUGAUCCAGCCAUGCCGCGUGAGUGAUGAAGGCCUUAGGGUUGUAAAGCUCUUUCACCGAUGAAGAUAAUGACGGUAGUCGGAGAAGAAGCCCCGGCUAACUUCGUGCCAGCCGCCGCGGUAA
RNAcentral lists this ribosomal RNA (447 nucleotides) under uncultured bacterium. RNAcentral describes it as "partial 16S ribosomal RNA". It matches the Rfam family "Bacterial small subunit ribosomal RNA", at positions 29 to 523 of the family's 1533-position model. The record is from RNAcentral.